RNAcentral lists this ribosomal RNA (382 nucleotides) under uncultured marine Chaetocerotaceae. Its description in RNAcentral is "SSU rRNA". It matches the Rfam family "Eukaryotic small subunit ribosomal RNA", at positions 587 to 972 of the family's 1831-position model. The record is from RNAcentral. Lineage: Eukaryota; Bacillariophyta; Thalassiosirophyceae; Chaetocerotales; Chaetocerotaceae.
AGCUCCAAUAGCGUAUAUUUUAGUUGUUGCAGUUAAAAAGCUCGUAGUUGAAUUUCUGGUGGAAGAGGGCAGUCCGACCUUUAUGGUGGGUACUCGUCCUUUCCGGCCAUCCUUGGGUGGAAUCUAUCUGGCAUUAAGUUGCCGGGCAGGGGAUGCCCAUCGUUUACUGUGAAAAAAUUAGAGUGUUCAAAGCAGACUUAUGUCGUUGAAUAUAUUAGCAUGGAAUAAUAAAAUAGGACCGCAGUGCUAUUUUGUUGGUUUGCGCACCGUGGUAAUGAUGAAUAGGGACAGUUGUGGGUAUUCGUAUUCAGUUGUAAGAGGUGAAAUUCUUAGAUUAACGGAAGACGAACUACUGCGAAAGCAUUUACCAAGGAUGUUUUCA